This 262-nucleotide ribosomal RNA is filed under the name uncultured bacterium. Its description in RNAcentral is "partial 16S ribosomal RNA". It matches the Rfam family "Bacterial small subunit ribosomal RNA", at positions 524 to 776 of the family's 1533-position model. The record is from RNAcentral.
UACGGGGGGGGCAAGCGUUGUUGCGGAAUUACUGGGCGUAAAGGGCUCGUAGGUGGCCAACUAAGUCAGACGUGAAAUCCCUCGGCUUAACCGGGGAACUGCGUCUGAUACUGGAUGGCUGGAGUAUGGGAGAGGGAUGCGGAAGUUCCAGGUGGUGAGCGGGUGAAAUGACGUAGAGAUCGGGAAAGAACAUCGGUGGCGAAAGCGCUGCUGCGUGGACUGCAACUGACACUCAGGGACGAAAGCUAGGGGAGCGAAUGGG